GCGGAUUUAGCUCAGUUGGGAGAGCGCUAGACUGAAGGGACACAUGUCUCGGUCCAUCUAGAGGUCGCUAGUUCGAUCAUAGCAAUUCGCA
Gonium pectorale is the source of this 91-nucleotide transfer RNA. It matches the Rfam family "tRNA". From Rfam's summary of the family: Transfer RNA (tRNA) molecules are approximately 80 nucleotides in length. The record is from Rfam. NCBI's taxonomy places the organism in Eukaryota, Viridiplantae, Chlorophyta, Chlorophyceae, Chlamydomonadales, Volvocaceae.